This is a long non-coding RNA of Xenia sp. Carnegie-2017, 237 nucleotides long. RefSeq lists it as uncharacterized. The transcript has 2 exons. The record is from RefSeq and is a predicted model, not a curated record. Lineage: Eukaryota; Metazoa; Cnidaria; Anthozoa; Malacalcyonacea; Xeniidae.
UCUUUGUCAAACAAAUUAGUUAAAAGUAGGAACUACAUGCAAGCAUUCAGUUGCUCUGAAUUCCUCUAAGCAAGAAUCGUUUUAUACAUAAACAGAAGUUGUACAGAGUUAUACAAAUAAAAUACUUCAUAGAGAAGCAAGUUCCGUUCAAAAGAGUGAAAAGAACUAAUGAAACAUGCCUCGCUUAACUCAAGAUAGAGAGACGCGCAUUUACACUAAAUGGAUAAAUUCAAAGCU